GGAUGUGAGGCUGGCUGCAACAUCUGUCACCCCAUUGAUUGCCAAGGUUGAUUCCGCAGAUGUGGCUAUCUAGGCGGUUGUCCCCUUCCUCCCUCACCGCUCCAUAUGUGUCCCUCUGAAGCUAUGUGCUUGAUUGAAGAGGACAGCCUUCCCUGAAUAGAGACUGACUGCGUCUUUCAUCGAGGGUACAGGAGUAGCUGCGCUCCCCUGCUAGAACCUCCAAACAAGCUGUCAUGAGUAUAGCCAUCAGGACCCGGGCUUUUUUUCUUGGGUAGGCUUUUGAUUACUGUUUCAACUUCUUUACUAGUGAUUGGCCUGUUAA
Erinaceus europaeus (western European hedgehog) is the source of this 322-nucleotide unclassified non-coding RNA. Its record names the gene 7SK. It matches the Rfam family "7SK RNA". Rfam says of the family: 7SK was discovered as an abundant small nuclear RNA in the mid-70s but a possible function has only recently been suggested. Two independent studies have found that 7SK RNA binds the CDK9/cyclin T complex (known as elongation factor P-TEFb). P-TEFb activates transcription by phosphorylating the C-terminal domain of RNA polymerase II. The record is from Ensembl. NCBI's taxonomy places the organism in Eukaryota, Metazoa, Chordata, Mammalia, Eulipotyphla, Erinaceidae.